Non-coding RNA from Gossypium raimondii (Peruvian cotton), 107 nucleotides. The record is from Rfam. NCBI's taxonomy places the organism in Eukaryota, Viridiplantae, Streptophyta, Magnoliopsida, Malvales, Malvaceae.
ACUUGGUGCUAAGAACAAUUCUUUUGCAUAUCAUUGAAUUGUUCCCAUGCCUUAUGUAAUGUUUCCUCUUGAUACUAUUGGAAACUAGUGAUAUCGUUCCACAAAUU